Molecule: ribosomal RNA, 501 nt
Filed under: uncultured bacterium
Lineage: Bacteria
Description: partial 16S ribosomal RNA
Rfam family: Bacterial small subunit ribosomal RNA
Source: RNAcentral
AUUGAACGCUGGCGGCAUGCCUUACACAUGCAAGUCGAACGGCAGCACGGGUGCUUGCACCUGGUGGCGAGUGGCGAACGGGUGAGUAAUACAUCGGAACGUACCUUAUCGUGGGGGAUAACGCAGCGAAAGCUGUGCUAAUACCGCAUACGCCCUGAGGGGGAAAGCGGGGGAUCGCAAGACCUCGCGCGAUUAGAGCGGCUGAUGCCUGAUUAGCUUGUUGGUGGGGUAAAAGCCCACCAAGGCGACGAUCAGUAGCUGGUCUGAGAGGACGAUCAGCCACACGGGGACUAAGACACGGCCCAGACUCCUACGGGAGGAAGCAGUGGGGAAUUUUGGACAAUGGGGGCAACCCUGAUCCAGCAAUGCCGCGUGAGUGAGGAAGGCCUUCGGGUUGUAAAGCUCUUUUGUCAGGGAAGAAACACCGGCUCUAACACAGUCCGGGAAUGACGGUACCUGAAGAAUAAGCACCGGCUAACUACGUGCCAGCCGCCGCGGUAA